CUAGGCUUCACUCUGCAAGGUGUUUAAAAAGAAAAACAGGUUUACCCAGGAUUUAUCAUGUAUGGAAAAAUGUAAUAUCUAAGUAGGCUGUCUGCUAAUGUCUGGCAUAAUGUUUCUUCAUAAUGGUUAACCCUUUUGCAGGGAGUGGAAUAAGAGUGCCUCUCUCUCUAGAUGGGAACUUUGCUUCAUGGGACAUUACAACUGUAUGCCUUAAGGCAGAAAAACGCAUAAAGGUAGCUGGGAAAGUAAAUUGCCAGAAGCGAAGAGCACCCUCCCUUUCAAAAUCCUAAUAUAAAAUCCCCCGGGGAAAAGAAUCCUAGAGAUUUGCGGUGAGGAGUAAAGCCGAUGCAACGUGAGCAGGGAACUGUAGACCUCCACCACGCCGAAGCAGCCCAGAAUAAAAGUUUCGCGUACUGCACAUUUGGGGUCUUUCUAGCUAUUCCGCCAGUAGCCUCCUCUAUUCUUUCGGGAGCCCAGCACAUCAGCCUCGCAGAUUCCUCGCACACAAUCAAUACAUUUUGCAUAACACGAGUCUCUCCCGCACGCUCUCGCUUCUCUUGCUCGCUCUCUAUUUUUGUUUGCCUCUCGUAGGUGGACAGGGUUUCUACACGGGGCUUUUCUUUUCAGAAAUUAGCGCCGACGAUACAGAGUCUCAAAAGCAAGCCGUGCGCGGUAGCUGGUUCUAGUCACUGCUUCCUCGGGUCAGAAAUUGCGCUGGAGCCCACCACAGCAACCUUGCAAGCAUGCGGUUCGGUUUCAGACAGACACAGCUUGCCUCUCUCCAGUCCCUCGUCUUUAACACUCCCCCCCCUUCCUCUUACAGCAGUGCUUUAAUAAAGUCACAUAAGUGAUUGAAAUUAACAUAAAUCAUUAUUAGUUAUUAGGAUUUGCUCUAAAUUACUCUGUGAAUAUAACACCAAACCCCAUCUGCCACUCCUGCUCUAGCAGCAAUAGAUUGCAGAUAAAAUAAAUGUCCUUACCCCAUUAGAAUGUUCCUGUCUCUGUAGCCAAAAGCCAAACAAAAGCAAUAAAUACAGAGCUUUUUUCUCUCCACUAUUCAGCUGUGACUGUUUUCAUCAGCUCUUCCUCUAGAAAAGCUCGAUAGCUGCCUGAAAAUAUUGCAUUUUAUAUCACCAAAGGGCGAUUAAUAUUGCAUUAACUGUAUUUAACAUUUUUUAAGCGCGAGUAAUCUGAAAUGAGUAAGUUUCUGUUACUAAAUACAGGGGAUGUCAGAGCUGGUGAAAACAGCUUAAAAUAUCUGUAUAAACAGAUUAUUUGUUUCAUACUUUGUAUUUUUAUAAUGUUAUGGUAUAGUGUGCUCUGUUUGAAGUAGAAGAAGCCAUGCUAAUGGUCUGUUUAAAGUAUUCUGACACUGUCUGGAGACAUCCAAGUCUCUGCCUUCAUUAAAUGUUUAUUGUCAACACUUCAGUGAAAAAAAGUCUUGUGUAAGUGAAUUUCCACUGCUGGAUGCUGUCAACACUUUGUUUUAUUCUGAUCCGCGUGUACAAAAGUUUGUAUACAUUAUGCUGAAGUGAAGA
This is a long non-coding RNA of Harpia harpyja (harpy eagle), 1538 nucleotides long. RefSeq lists it as uncharacterized. The transcript has 3 exons. The record is from RefSeq and is a predicted model, not a curated record. Lineage: Eukaryota; Metazoa; Chordata; Aves; Accipitriformes; Accipitridae.